AGCGAACGCUGGCGGCAGGCUUAACACAUGCAAGUCGAGCGGACCUUUCGGGGUCAGCGGCGGACGGGUGCGUAACGCGUGGGAACGUGCCUUUCGGUUCGGAAUAACCCUGGGAAACUAGGGCUAAUACCGGAUACGCUCUUCUGGGGAAAGGUUUACUGCCGGAGGAUCGGCCCGCGUCUGAUUAGCUAGUUGGUAGGGUAAAGGCCUACCAAGGCGACGAUCAGUAGCUGGUCUGAGAGGAUGAUCAGCCACACUGGGACUGAGACACGGCCCAGACUCCUACGGGAGGCAGCAGUGGGGAAUAUUGGACAAUGGGCGCAAGCCUGAUCCAGCCAUGCCGCGUGAGUGAUGAAGGCCUUAGGGUUGUAAAGCUCUUUUAUCCGGGACGAUAAUGACGGUACCGGAGGAAUAAGCCCCGGCUAACUUCGUG
RNAcentral lists this ribosomal RNA (433 nucleotides) under uncultured bacterium. RNAcentral describes it as "partial 16S ribosomal RNA". It matches the Rfam family "Bacterial small subunit ribosomal RNA", at positions 29 to 507 of the family's 1533-position model. The record is from RNAcentral.